This 253-nucleotide ribosomal RNA is filed under the name uncultured bacterium. Its description in RNAcentral is "partial 16S ribosomal RNA". It matches the Rfam family "Bacterial small subunit ribosomal RNA", at positions 524 to 776 of the family's 1533-position model. The record is from RNAcentral.
UACGUAGGGGGCAAGCGUUGUCCGGAAUCAUUGGGCGUAAAGCGCGCGUAGGCGGCCCGGUAAGUCCGCUCUGAAAGUCCAAGGCUCAACCUUGGAAUGCGGGUGGAUACUGCCGGGCUAGAGUCCGGAAGAGGCGAGUGGAAUUCCUGGUGUAGCGGUGAAAUGCGCAGAUAUCAGGAAGAACACCCGUGGCGAAGGCGGCUCUCUGGGACGGUACUGACGCUGAGACGCGAAAGCGUGGGGAGCGAACAGG